RNAcentral lists this ribosomal RNA (780 nucleotides) under uncultured rumen bacterium. Its description in RNAcentral is "bacterial SSU rRNA". It matches the Rfam family "Bacterial small subunit ribosomal RNA", at positions 39 to 827 of the family's 1533-position model. The record is from RNAcentral.
CCGGCGUGCCUAAUACAUGCAAGUCGAUCGAUGAUAGCCUAGCUUGCUAGGAAGGAUUAGAGGCGAACGGGUGAGUAAUACAUAAGCAACCUGCCCACGAAGACUGGGAUAGCCCCUGGAAACGGGGAUUAAGACCGGAUAGGUAAUAGAACCGCAUGAUUCUAUUAUUAAAGGUUUAAAACACUGGUGGAUGGGCUUAUGGCGCAUUAGCUAGUUGGUGAGGUAAUGGCCCACCAAGGCGAUGAUGCGUAGCCGGCCUGAGAGAGUGAACGGCCACAUUGGGACUGAGACACGGCCCAGACUCCUACGGGAGGCAGCAGUAGGGAAUUUUCGGCAAUGGGCGCAAGCCUGACCGAGCAACGCCGCGUGAGUGAUGACGGCCUUCGGGUUGUAAAACUCUGUUGUAAGGAAAGAACGGUACAUAGAAAAUAUGUAAGUGACGGUACCUUACCAGAAAGCCACGGCUAACUACGUGCCAGCAGCCGCGGUAAUACGUAGGUGGCAAGCGUUAUCCGGAAUUAUUGGGCGUAAAGGGUGCGCAGGCGGCCAGUUAAGUUUAUGGUGAAAGCGUGGAGCUCAACUCCAUCAAGCCGUAGAUACUGACUGGCUAGAGUACUGGAGAGGAAGUGGAUUCCAUGUGUAGCGGUAAAUGCGUAGAUAUAUGGAGGACACCAGAGCGAGCGGCUUCUAGACAGAUACUGACGCUCAGGCACGAAGCGUGGGGAGCAAUGAUAGAUACCUAGUAGUCACGCUGUAACAUGAUGCUAAUUUGGGGCACUC